This 336-nucleotide unclassified non-coding RNA is filed under the name soil metagenome. Its description in RNAcentral is "partial contains 5.8S ribosomal RNA, internal transcribed spacer 2, and large subunit ribosomal RNA". The stretch from base 1 to 120 matches the Rfam family "5.8S ribosomal RNA", at positions 35 to 154 of the family's 154-position model. The record is from RNAcentral.
GAUGAAGAACGUAGCGAAAUGCGAUAAGUAAUGGGAAUUGCAGAAUUCAGUGAAUCAUCGAAUCUUUGAACGCACAUUGCGCCCCUUGGUAUUCCAUGGGGCAUGCCUGUUCGAGCGUCAUUUGUACCUUCAAGCUUUGCUUGGUGUUGGGUGUUUGUCUCGCCUUUGCGUGUAGACUCGCCUUAAAAUAAUUGGCAGCCGGCGUAUUGAUUUCGGAGCGCAGUACAUCUCGCGCUUUGCACUCAUAACGACAGCGUCCAAAAGUACAUUUUACACUCUUGACCUCGGAUCAGGUAGGGAUACCCGCUGAACUUAAGCAUAUCAAUAAGCGGAGGA